AUGCCGCCACCACCUCCACCUCCGCCCAGCCCUGCUCCGACGCCUGCCUCCUCCGCCGGGCCUGCACGCAUUCUCCCUGGACGGGCUCAAGUCUGUCACGAUAACCUCUCCAUCUCCAUCUCGCCCCGACGCUCCUCUGCUUCCAGUCGCUACAUUGCUGAUACUUGCAUUGACCGUUUGGAGCUGCUAGCUUGUUUGAAGGCUUCUUCCUCAAGAAGAGUUACUGUACUUGGAGUUUGUGCACCUGGUACUGACUCUUAUCUACGUUUCUUUGGACCUGACACACCAGACGAUCUUGUUCGUAUCUGA
Molecule: ribosomal RNA, 309 nt
Filed under: Triticum aestivum (bread wheat)
Lineage: Eukaryota; Viridiplantae; Streptophyta; Magnoliopsida; Poales; Poaceae
Description: partial small subunit ribosomal RNA
Source: RNAcentral